RNAcentral lists this unclassified non-coding RNA (781 nucleotides) under Hevea brasiliensis (rubber tree). The record is from RNAcentral. Lineage: Eukaryota; Viridiplantae; Streptophyta; Magnoliopsida; Malpighiales; Euphorbiaceae.
GGACAAAACAUUCAUUGUCUUAUUCUCAGUCUCAGAGUCUCACUCUUCCAUGUUUGACCACUCCCACCUCUGUCUGCUUCACUCCCCGUGGCUUCCUCUCUCUCUCUAUCCUCUUCUCGAGACGACGAGCAGCCCCUUUCACUGCUGGAGCAGAAGAACCUUUUCUUGUUUGGUCUCUGUUUCUUUCUCUGUGAUUGUUUUUUCACUGCUAAAAUGGCAGCUUCCUAAUCCUCUCCUCGAGCUUCAUUUUCUAGGCCUUUGCACGAAUGGAAUCCAUCUAUCACAUGAUUCUUUUCUUCCCCUCCAUUAUUGCUUUUAUCCCCCCUCUUUAUUUCAUCAUCCUCAUCGUUUUGAGCAGAGAAUCACUGCUGUUUGCGAUAAGACAUGUAGUAGAUACAAAGCUAACUAACCCAAAAAAACAAAGAAAAUAAAUUUAUUACUAAUAAACUUCUUUCCAGUUCUUUUGCAUCAUUGGAUCGUCGUUUUGUUCCUCUGUAAUGUUCUGUAUUUUUCUUUCCCAUUGUAUCAUUGUACGGCUUUUCUGUUUUCUGCAGUGGUUUCGUGUUUUCUUUACGUUUUCUGUGCUCUAGUUUGGGAGUGAGGUCUACUACAUUGUGUUUUCUUAGAGUGUUUUGGGAAACCUGGGAUUUUCUCCUGGAUUUUGUCGAGAUUUCUUGGCUUUUUCUGUAUGGAGUGGAUUUGGAACUUGAGAUUUGAGCGUAUUUGGUUUUUACAAAGUAAUUCCGAGUAUUUUUGCUGUGGGUUUUGGUGAUCUUAGUCA